CGUACCUACGGGAGGCAGCAGUGGGGAAUAUUGGGCAAUGGGCGCAAGCCUGACCCAGCAACGCCGCGUGAAGGAAGAAGGCUUUCGGGUUGUAAACUUCUUUUCUCAGGGACGAAGAAAGUGACGGUACCUGAGGAAUAAGCCACGGCUAGCUACGUGCCAGCAGCCGCGGUAAUACGUAGGUGGCAAGCGUUAUCCGGAUUUACUGGGUGUAAAGGGCGUGUAGGCGGGGAAGACAGUCAG
Molecule: ribosomal RNA, 243 nt
Filed under: uncultured bacterium
Lineage: Bacteria
Description: partial 16S ribosomal RNA
Rfam family: Bacterial small subunit ribosomal RNA
Source: RNAcentral